RNAcentral lists this ribosomal RNA (253 nucleotides) under uncultured bacterium. RNAcentral describes it as "partial 16S ribosomal RNA". It matches the Rfam family "Bacterial small subunit ribosomal RNA", at positions 524 to 776 of the family's 1533-position model. The record is from RNAcentral.
UACGUAGGGGGCAAGCGUUGUCCGGAAUCAUUGGGCGUAAAGAGCGCGUAGGCGGCCAGACAAGUCCGGUGUGAAAGUCACAGGCUCAACCUGUGAAUGCCGCUGGAAACUGUCUGGCUAGAGUCCGGAAGGGGCGAGCGGAAUUCCUGGUGUAGCGGUGAAAUGCGCAGAUAUCAGGAGGAACACCUAUGGCGAAGGCAGCUCGCUGGGACGGUACUGACGCUGAGGCGCGAAAGCGUGGGGAGCGAACAGG